This 397-nucleotide long non-coding RNA is filed under the name Rattus norvegicus (Norway rat). Its description in RNAcentral is "long non-coding RNA NONRATT032061". The record is from RNAcentral. Lineage: Eukaryota; Metazoa; Chordata; Mammalia; Rodentia; Muridae.
GUUCCCAUCGCUCUUUCCCAAAACCUCACCCAGACCCACCCCUGAGUAUUUCAGCAGAAUACCAAGACAAUGGCUGGGUGAAUUAGACCAUAGCAACUGGCUCAUUUGGACACCGUACCAAUCUUCAAGAUGUCCGCAUUAUAAAAACAGCUUCGAUCUGUUUGUUUCCUGAGCGUCACACUUUGAAACUUCCAGCUAAAAAUUGGAGAUUGCUAUUUUUCUGCCAUUCUGCCGUUGUUGCUUUGUAUCUCUUGAAACUAUAUUGCCAGGUGCAUACCCAAUUAUGUCAGGGAACAUCUUCAAAGAAAGUAGGGAGAGCUGACAAAUGUCCUUCAAAGGGAUAAAGAACAGACAAAGAACUGACUUCUGGGCAAUGGUAAUGAGAACCAAAUGACAG